GACGAACGCUGGCGGCGUGCUUAACACAUGCAAGUCGAGCGGUAAGGCCCUUUCGGGGGUACACGAGCGGCGAACGGGUGAGUAACACGUGGGUGACCUGCCCUCAGCUCUGGGAUAAGCCUGGGAAACUGGGUCUAAUACUGGAUAUGACUCCACGGUGCAUGUCGUGGGGUGGAAAGCCUUGUGCGGCUGAGGAUGGGCCCGCGGCCUAUCAGCUUGUUGGUGGGGUGANGGCCUACCAAGGCGACGACGGGUAGCCGGCCUGAGAGGGCGACCGGCCACACUGGGACUGAGACACGGCCCAGACUCCUACGGGAGGCAGCAGUGGGGAAUCUUGCGCAAGUGGGCGAAAGCCUGACGCAGCGACGCCGCGUGAGGGAUGACGGCCU
Molecule: ribosomal RNA, 389 nt
Filed under: uncultured bacterium
Lineage: Bacteria
Description: bacterial SSU rRNA
Rfam family: Bacterial small subunit ribosomal RNA
Source: RNAcentral